CGUCUGCCUUUUAACCCUCCCCAGGAGGUCGUGCCUCUGAGCCCCAAAGCUGAAGGCCCCUCUUGGGGGUGGGUGCGGGCCGGAGGGGCCCGAUCCUUUCAGAGCCGGGCCGAGGUGAAGGAAAAGAAGGAAGUCCUUUGAGAUACAUUAUCUCACUGAAGCCUCAGCAACUCCGCGGUGUUCCCAGAGGUGAGGAAACACACUGAGAGACAGAACACGACUUGACCAGGGCCACCCUGUGGGGCACGCUGGCACCUGCACAGCCCAGCUUCACCUGGUUCCAGCCCUGCCCGCGCUCUGCUCCCCACUUCCCGUAACCCUGGGCUGGCGUCAGCAGGCAGGCCUGCCAGGAGGCUGGAGCUGCCAACGACCUAUUUUUCUGGGCAAGAAGAGCCAUUUGGAGUUAGAGGUCUCAGCUGUGAAGCCAGAACAAUAAAAAUAAAAACAGCACGGACUCCUGGGCAGCCUGGACCAGGGAACCAACUGCCCCAAGAGUUGCUGCUCACCAGGCUGGAAGGUCCCAGGUGAUACUGACGCUACUGAUUCAGGGAUCACACUUUGAGAACCGCUGAAUAGACUGCCAUUCAAGCCAAGCCAAUCCUCUUGGCUCUACCUUCAAAAUAAACCCAGAAUCCAACCACUCCUUCCCACCUGCAUCACACUCCGGUCCCAGUACCUUCAUUUCUCACCUGGAUUAGUGCAGUCACUUCCUCACUGGCUCCGUACUUCCUGGACUCCCCACCUUGUUGCUUCUUCAAUAAAAGCCUCCCAAUGGCCUUCCA
This 782-nucleotide long non-coding RNA is filed under the name Homo sapiens (human). RNAcentral's name for it is "uncharacterized LOC102724545, transcript variant 2 (LOC102724545)". Lineage: Eukaryota; Metazoa; Chordata; Mammalia; Primates; Hominidae. The record is from RNAcentral.